CACGUGGGAACAUGCCUAUCGGUAAAGAACAACCAUUGGAAACGAUGGCUAAUACUUUAUACGCCCCUUGGGGGAAAGAUUUAUCGCCGAUAGAUUGGCCCGCGGUAGAUUAGCUAGUUGGUGAGGUAAAAGCUCACCAAGGCUACGAUCUAUAUCUGGUUUGAGAGGAUGAUCAGACACACUGGGACUGAGACACGGCCCAGACUCCUACGGGAGGCAGCAGUGGGGAAUAUUGGACAAUGGGGGAAACCCUGAUCCAGCGAUGCCGCGUGAGUGAUGAAGGCCUUAGGGUUGUAAAAC
Molecule: ribosomal RNA, 300 nt
Filed under: uncultured Kordiimonadaceae bacterium
Lineage: Bacteria; Pseudomonadati; Pseudomonadota; Alphaproteobacteria; Kordiimonadales; Kordiimonadaceae
Description: bacterial SSU rRNA
Rfam family: Bacterial small subunit ribosomal RNA
Source: RNAcentral